CCACGACCCUCUUCCCAUCCAAGUAGAAGCUAUAUACCCUGAAAGAACAUUAUUCCACACACUAUUUAAAAAUAUAUAGGGAGUAUAUUCCUUCUUUCCCCAAAAUAGAAAUAUUCUCC
This is a long non-coding RNA of Myotis brandtii (Brandt's bat), 119 nucleotides long. RefSeq lists it as uncharacterized. The transcript is spliced from 3 exons. NCBI's taxonomy places the organism in Eukaryota, Metazoa, Chordata, Mammalia, Chiroptera, Vespertilionidae. The record is from RefSeq and is a predicted model, not a curated record.